UCCCCGUUACCGGGGCAGUUUGAAUAGAAAAAUACAACUAUUCACAAGGGUUGCGCUCGUUGAUGGACUUAACCAAACAUCUCACGACACGAGCUGACGACGGCCAUGCAGCAGCUGUCACUUGGCUCAAUAAAGCACUUUCUGCUUUCACAGAAAUUCCAAGGAUGUCAAACCCUGGUAAGGUUCAUCGGUUAUCAUCGAAUUAAAGAACAUAAUCCACCGCUUGUGCGGGUCCCCGUCAAUUCCUUUGAGUUUUAAUCUUGCGACCGUACUCCCCAGGCGGGAUGCUUAACGCGUUAGCUUCGCUACUGAAGGGGUCGAUACGGCAUACAGCUAGCAUCCAUCGUUUACGGCGUGGACUA
Molecule: unclassified non-coding RNA, 362 nt
Filed under: uncultured bacterium
Lineage: Bacteria
Description: contains 16S-23S intergenic spacer region
Source: RNAcentral